Molecule: ribosomal RNA, 497 nt
Filed under: uncultured bacterium
Lineage: Bacteria
Description: partial 16S ribosomal RNA
Rfam family: Bacterial small subunit ribosomal RNA
Source: RNAcentral
GAUGAACGCUGGCGGCGUGCCUAAUACAUGCAAGUCGAGCGAACGGACGAGAAGCUUGCUUCUUUGACGUUAGCGGCGGACGGGUGAGUAACACGUGGAUAACCUACCUAUAAGACUGGGAUAACUUCGGGAAACCGUAGCUAAUACCGGAUAAUAUUUUGAACCGCAUGGUUCAAAAGUGAAAGACGGUCUUGCUGUCACUUAUAGAUGGAUCCGCGCUGCAUUAGCUAGUUGGUAAGGUAACGGCUUACCAAGGCAACGAUGCAUAGCCGACCUGAGAGGGUGAUCGGCCACACUGGAACUGAGACACGGUCCAGACUCCUACGGGAGGCAGCAGUAGGGAAUCUUCCGCAAUGGGCGAAAGCCUGACGGAGCAACGCCGCGUGAGUGAUGAAGGUCUUCGGAUCGUAAAACUCUGUUAUUAGGGAAGAACAUAUGUGUAAGUAACUGUGCACAUCUUGACGGUACCUAAUCAGAAAGCCACGGCUAACUACGUG